This 493-nucleotide ribosomal RNA is filed under the name uncultured bacterium. Its description in RNAcentral is "partial 16S ribosomal RNA". It matches the Rfam family "Bacterial small subunit ribosomal RNA", at positions 899 to 1397 of the family's 1533-position model. The record is from RNAcentral.
ACUCAAAUGAAUAGACGGGGGCCCGCACAAGCGGUGGAGCGUGUGGUUUAAUUCGAUGCUAAACGAAAAACCUUACCAGGGCUUGACAUGUUGGUAGUAGGAACCCGAAAGGGUAACGAUCCCGGGGUAACUCGGGAAGCCUUCACAGGUGCUGCAUGGCUGUCGUCAGCUCGUGCCGUGAGGUGUUGGGUUAAGUCCCGCAACGAGCGCAACCCUCGUCGCUAGUUAAUUUCUCUAGCGAGACAGCCUCCCACAAGGAGGAGGAAGGUGGGGAUGACGUCAAGUCAUCAUGGCCUUUAUGCCCUGGGCUACACACACGCUACAAUGGCCGGUACAAUGGGUCGCUAAAGCGCAAGCUGGAGCCAAUCCCAGCAAAGCCGGCCUCAGUUGGGAUUGCAGGCUGCAACCUGCCUGCAUGAACGCGGAAUCGCUAGUAACCGCAGGUCAGCAUACUGCGGUGAAUACGUUCCCGGGCCUUGUACACACCGCCCGU